Molecule: long non-coding RNA, 1345 nt
Organism: Mauremys mutica (yellowpond turtle)
Lineage: Eukaryota; Metazoa; Chordata; Testudines; Geoemydidae
Exons: 3
Source: RefSeq, a predicted model, not a curated record
ACACUGUUUAGCUAAUUCUCUGCCUUUCGUCUCUUGUCACAGCAGCACUUACCUUUAGGAGGUCAGGUGACUGACUCUUCAGAAGAAAAAGUCAGUAUUGCUUCAUGGAUUGACUAACAGAAGUAGCUGCAUACAUGACAGCUGAAGAUGCACUUUCCCUGGGGACUAAGCGCAGUAUGUUCAUGACAAGUGCAGCUAUCGCUGGUUGGGGGCUUGAAAGAUGAGCUUGUUUCUGAACCCAAGACUUCUCAUUGGUGUCUCAUCAGUGCAACCUGGACCCCUGAACGAACUCAUAAUAGAAUAUUGCUAUGUCCCGUGAAGACCAUUCUGCUUUCUGGGCCAGUGAAGACCAGGCCUAUAGAAGAGGAGAACUACAAUAGCAGCACAGCUGUAUGAACAUUCUCUGUUAGCUGUCAGUUGCACUUGAGGUCUGCAUAUCACAAUCCAAGCCAAAGAGAAAGUGAUCUAGUUGCAUUUGGCAGAGGGGAACUGAGGAACUAUAGAGAUGAGAGAAUUGACAGCUGCCAAAAUGAUGGAGUGGAAUUAGCUUUUCCUCUAAAACCUGCAGGUGACAGACUCUGUUGGACAAAGCAAAACAACACUAUGUAUCGAGUCAUAACUGACUGAAAAACUUGAAAACAACUGCAUCUUUCAAACAUGGUAUAAAGAUCAUGUCGUUUUCAGGAGUACCCAGAUGAAGUCAAGGCUCCAUUGUGCUAGGUGCUGUACAUUUACGUAGCAAGAAACAACUGCUGCCUCAUAAAGCUUACCAUCAAACUAGACAAGACAAACAGCUGGAGAAAGCAAGUAUUAACUCAUCUUACAGAUGGGAAAUGGAAGCAGAGAGAAGCUAAAAGGGCUGAGAAUGACAUUCUGCCCCCCGCACUCCCCACUCACCAAUGUGCUUAACCAAAAUGCAUCCUCCCCUCUUGUAAACUGGUUGGUUGCUGCAUUUAGCCCAGAGGAAGGUGCUUCCCAGUAAUUCUGUAUGAAUAGAGUUUUUAAGUGCUUUAGAAUUUUAUGGAAUGAAGUAAGCUAUACACAUCAAAAAUAUUUUAAUUUGGUGUCUGUGGUUAUUUUAAGGGACAGAAUCCCUUGCAGAGUUCCUUGCAUUCAUAGAAGAAUGAGGAUCCACAUUAAUCUUAUUUAUUUUGGUCACUACCAUACAAACACACAACCACAUGAAUUCCAGAUUCCAUAGAACCCUGUCGAAUCUCCCCACUCUUUCCAUGUAUGCCAUGUUCUAAUGCAUGUCAGUGUAACUUUUUUCUCCCCUAGUAGUUUACUCUCAAAUGUUUCCUACAACAGUAUAAAAGAAAUAAUUAUCAAGAUCCAGGAUCUUGCC